RNAcentral lists this ribosomal RNA (250 nucleotides) under uncultured Leptolinea sp. RNAcentral's name for it is "partial 16S ribosomal RNA". It matches the Rfam family "Bacterial small subunit ribosomal RNA", at positions 1132 to 1378 of the family's 1533-position model. The record is from RNAcentral. Lineage: Bacteria; Bacillati; Chloroflexota; Anaerolineae; Anaerolineales; Anaerolineaceae.
UGUGUCACACGGGACUGCCGGUCCUUAAGCCCGGGAGGAAGGUGGGGAUGAUGUCAAGUCAGCAUGGCCUUUAUAUCCUGGGCUACACACACGCUACAAUGGCCAACACAAUAGGUUGCUAAGCCGCGAGGUGGCGCCAAUCCAUAAAGUUGGUCUCAGUUCAGAUUGUAGGCUGCAACCCGCCUGCAUGAAGAUGGAGUUGCUAGUAACCGCAGGUCAGCUAUACUGCGGUGAAUACGUUCCCGGGAUU